UACGGAGGGGGCAAGCGUUAUUCGGAAUUAUUGGGCGUAAAGAGCUCGUAGGCGGCUUGUCACGUCGAUUGUGAAAGCCCGAGGCUUAACCUCGGGUCUGCAGUCGAUACGGGCUAGCUAGAGUGUGGUAGGGGAGAUCGGAAUUCCUGGUGUAGCGGUGAAAUGCGCAGAUAUCAGGAGGAACACCGGUGGCGAAGGCGGAUCUCUGGGCCAUUACUGACGCUGAGGAGCGAAAGCGUGGGGAGCGAACAGG
RNAcentral lists this ribosomal RNA (253 nucleotides) under uncultured bacterium. Its description in RNAcentral is "partial 16S ribosomal RNA". It matches the Rfam family "Bacterial small subunit ribosomal RNA", at positions 524 to 776 of the family's 1533-position model. The record is from RNAcentral.